GACGAACGCUGGCGGCGCGCUUAACACAUGCAAGUCGAACGGAAAGGCCUGCUUUCCCUUGUGGCUUGCGGGUACUCGAGUGGCGAACGGGUGAGUAACACGUGAGUGAUCUGCCCCCAACUUGGGUAUAAGCCUGGGAAACUGGGUCUAAUUCCCGAUAGGACUGCAGGGUGGUGCCUGUGGUGGAAAACGAUCUUCUAGUGGUUGGGGAUGAGCUUGCGGUCUAUUAGCUUGUUGGUGGGGUAAUGGCCUACCAAGGCGGAUACAGGUAGCCGGCGUGGGAGGGUGGACGGGCACAUUCGAACUGGGAGACAGCCCAAACGCAGACGGAAGGCAGCAGUGGGGAAUAAUGCACGAUAGGCUGAAGCCUGAUGCAGCGACGCGGGGUGGGGGAUGACGGCCUUCGAGUUGUAAGCUCCUUUCGACCGCGAGGAAGCCACCUGAUUGGAAGGGUGGUGACGGUAGUGGUAGAAGAAGCACCGGCUAACUACGUG
RNAcentral lists this ribosomal RNA (494 nucleotides) under uncultured bacterium. Its description in RNAcentral is "partial 16S ribosomal RNA". It matches the Rfam family "Bacterial small subunit ribosomal RNA", at positions 28 to 507 of the family's 1533-position model. The record is from RNAcentral.